AGACUUUACCCCGCCCAGUGAAUCAUAAAUACGAACUUAAAAAAAAAAACACUGGUCUAAUCGCCAUUUUCUUUCAGUUUACUCAUUUGUGUGUUUUUGUUCUUUGAGGGUCCCAGGCUUAGACGCAAUCUCGUUGGAGAUCAGAUCAUCUGCCUCAAAGAAGACUUCUUCUAAAACAGCUCAAGUGAAAAAACGCAAAGAUGACGACUAUCAACCCAAACUUACACCCAAUCCAGAAAGUGAUGAAGAUUUCAGUGAGCCAUCUGAGAGUGAUGAUGAAGAAUUCACAGUCAAGAAACCCACAAGGACCAAAAAGGACAAAUUCUCCACCAAAAACAGAAUCAAACCAGAUCCCACUUCUGAAAAAGACAAACAACCGUCGAAACCAAAGACGAAGCCUGAAGCAGCAGCUGCUUCCAAACCGGUAAAAAGUCUUCCAACAUCCAAACCGACACCCACCAGAUCCCCUUCUUCAAAGCAUUCAUCCUCUCUGAGCCCAGCAGCGGGGAGAGUACCCAAGUGGAACCCACCAGGUCUAUGAGGUCCAGCUUCAGUGAGAAUCAAUACACUUACUCUUUCGGUUAUUUAAACUGCUGUAAUCAGAUUGAAGGCUAAUAUUUAUGUUUAUAUUAUAUUCCAGCUCAGAUUGGUAAAAGUGCCUCAUCGUCACACAGUCCAGCGGUGAAGUCACCCAGCCAGGGGCUGCGACUUGGACUGUCCCGCCUAGUCCGAAUAAACCGCUCCAUCCCAGCGUUGCAUGUCACUAACCCAGGGGUCGGCAACCCAAAAUGUUGAAAGAGUCAAAUUGGACGAAAAUAACAAACAUGUCUGGAGCCGCAAAAUAUUAAAAGUCCUUUUUAAGCCUUGUAAUGAAGGCAACA
Non-coding RNA from Oryzias latipes (Japanese medaka), 881 nucleotides. The record is from RefSeq and is a predicted model, not a curated record. NCBI's taxonomy places the organism in Eukaryota, Metazoa, Chordata, Actinopteri, Beloniformes, Adrianichthyidae.